Long non-coding RNA from Rosa chinensis, 760 nucleotides. RefSeq lists it as uncharacterized. The transcript is spliced from 3 exons. Lineage: Eukaryota; Viridiplantae; Streptophyta; Magnoliopsida; Rosales; Rosaceae. The record is from RefSeq and is a predicted model, not a curated record.
UAAACCCUUUCUAACCUAUAUCACCCCGAGUUCCAGAACUACACAAUUCGUUCUGCCCCUCUCUCGCGUAUCAACGCUAAGAGAAUUCUCCGAUUUCCAACUUCUCCAAUCUCAAUCAAAAUUCGGAGCUCAUCUCUAUCAAAACCCACCAAAGAUUCAAACUUUCUCCACCAAAGGGUCCACGAAUCAAAACCCAUAAGUGUUGAUUCGUGAAUGGCGAGCCUGUAUGUGAAAGCUGUGCUUCCUGCGGAUUUGAAUAGGAACACAGAGUGGUUCGUGUACCUGGCGUUUGGACCACCUAUUUUCUCAUCCUCUUCUUCUCUUGGCUCCUUGUGCUCUCGAUUUUUGGCUGCUCUCCUGGCGUGGCUUGGACCAUAGUCAAUCUCUCUCAUUUCGUGGUUUAUGUUACAUGAUUCUACAUGGGUUUUGUAUCUGGAAGCUGAAUCGGGUGCAUUACAGUGUUUUAGUAGGUAAUUGUGUGGAAAGAGAAUAACCCAUGUUGUAUUUUUCUUGACUGAAGAUAAUGAUAGUCAUUCGUCACAGGAUGAUUAACUGCUGCUGUGCUUGAUCAAGAAGUGUUUUCUUUUCAGUAGUAAUUUUGGAGAGACAGAGGAGACAGGCUGUGCUUGAUUAGCUGCUGCAAAUGUUUGCUUUUUGGUUCUCAGCAUCAAUGUUGAAGCUAUUAUGUAUAUCUUUUGGUUUUUGGUUUCUCAGCAUCAAUGUUACAGCUAGUGUAUAUCACUGUUGAAGCUAUUGUGUA